UAAAAACCGGGCGACUCAAAACAAGAUUUAGGGUUUUGGGCUUUUUUUUAUCCUCCGAAGCCAAAGCAGCCGUCUUACACAAACCGACCGAAUUCUAGCCAUGGUUAAUCUCUCCUGCAUAUACGUUCAUAUGCAUAGAUUUCUGUUGAUCUCGGUAUUGAUCUAUAUCUUUUGUCGAUUUUUGAAUUUUGCAGUCUUUGAUAGCAAAUGAGGAUUUUCAGCACAUCCUUCGUGUGCAGAACACGAAUGUGGAUGGUAAGCAGAAGAUAAUGUUCGCACUUACGUCAAUCAAGGGUAUCGGUCGUCGAUUCGCCAAUAUUGUCUGCAAGAAAGCUGAUAUUGACAUGAACAAGAGGUUUUCUUUUCCUUUUUCCUCUGUAUCUCUUUAUUUUUCAUAUUAUUUAAUUUUUUUACUCCGCUACAUAUAAUGUUUUUACCUUGCUGAUUUUAUACGCUUGCUGAUUCUAUCGAGUGAAUUGAUUUAUUGAUUCAGUGCUAUGACAACGUCGCAUAAGUUAUCUUAAUAUUGACACUCCUGAGACACCCUGAGAGCACUCGAAAAUUUACUGUCACAGAAAACAUAAUAUCCUUAAAUUUUGUUUUGCACAAAUAUCACAAAAAGAAUGUUUAUUUAAAUAUCUCCCUUAGAGGGAGAAGGUCUCAUCGAAAAAUUUAGUUAACCAGAAAAACGUUGGAUCUAGAUAACUGCAAAAAGCAUUGGCAAAUAUUUGAAUUUCUGAAGAGGACUGGCAUAUUCAUUCGAAAUGUUAAAAUUAAAUACACUACCAUUAGAUAAAAUAAAGGCCACGCUUUGGAAUUACUGCUAAUUCAGUCCUUUUAGUCAGAAUGUUGUUUUUAUUUUAUUGAAUCAUUUUGUAAGUUGACUAUAACAUGGUGAUUGAGUGUUGUCUUUUGCUACAACUAAAUACUUUGAAUGUAGCAUCUUAGUCGUGACAAAUUGUUAUUUUGGCACAGUUUUUAUUUCUUCAUCUUUGUUGUUUGGCAUUCUUCUUAGUUUGGGAAUCAGUCAGGCAUUCCCAGUCAUAAUGAUUUUAUGAUUGUAAUUCUUAUGUAAUUUGAGCUGAGCAUGUCUGCCGAUAAAAAUGAAUGCUUAUAUUCAACAGAAUGUUUGACACCAUACCAGGGAGGGGGUUUGACAAAAAUUGCAGAGCUGGCCACUUGGCCUCACUGGUUAAUCUAAUUUUUGGUUUUCAAUUUAUUCUUUGGGAAAACCAAAAAAAGAUUUAAUGCAGGCUUGCCAGGCCGUGGACCUUUAUACUCAAUGCAGCCCUUUCAACCUUUACACCCUAGCAGGGAGGGGACUAGGC
Molecule: long non-coding RNA, 1328 nt
Filed under: Olea europaea subsp. europaea
Lineage: Eukaryota; Viridiplantae; Streptophyta; Magnoliopsida; Lamiales; Oleaceae
Source: RNAcentral